AUGCUCGCUUUGGCAACACAUAUACUAAAAUUAGAAUGAUACAGAGGAAAUUAGCAUGGCCUCUGUACAAGGAUGACAUGCAAAUUUGUGAAGCAUUCCAUAUAUUU
This 107-nucleotide small nuclear RNA is filed under the name Mus pahari (shrew mouse). Lineage: Eukaryota; Metazoa; Chordata; Mammalia; Rodentia; Muridae. The record is from RNAcentral.